UGCCUUGCUAACCACAUUGAGGGAUGUGGAAUUUGGACUUUCAUUGGCUGCUAUUUCACGAUGGACACGUUGACUUACUGGAUCCCACGUUCUUGCGGCAAAACUAUCAGAUGUCAGUUCUUGGUGUUGCAGCCUCCCGGUAAUCACCAGAGAUGCGCCUUCAUCGCCGGGCUGCUUAGGGAAGCCCUGGCUGGAACACAACCCCUGUCACUGAGGACCUACUGGGUGUCGGGUGAUGUUCCAAGGGCUGUUUCAUUUAAUCCUUACAAACCACCUCUGAGGUAGUGGUUAUUAUCACCCCAUUUUACAGCCGAAUAAAUGGAGUCAGAGAGGUUAAGGAGGUUACAUGAAGAUCCUUCCUGUCGAGGAACCCAGCAGCCAUGCAGUAAGGAAGUCCAAGCUAUCACUCGGGAGAGCGGUGAGAGAGGCCUCCUUGGACAACCCAGCUUUGGAGAAGCUCCCAGAUGAAUGAAGCCACAUCAGUGACCCUAGCUGACAUCACACGAGGCAGAGGAACUGCUGAAUCAACCCACAGAAU
Molecule: long non-coding RNA, 538 nt
Organism: Camelus dromedarius (Arabian camel)
Lineage: Eukaryota; Metazoa; Chordata; Mammalia; Artiodactyla; Camelidae
Exons: 3
Source: RefSeq, a predicted model, not a curated record